Long non-coding RNA from Cyprinodon tularosa, 805 nucleotides. RefSeq lists it as uncharacterized. Lineage: Eukaryota; Metazoa; Chordata; Actinopteri; Cyprinodontiformes; Cyprinodontidae. The record is from RefSeq and is a predicted model, not a curated record. The transcript has 2 exons.
AGGGAUUACCAGAGUGAGGAGAGACAGAGAAGCAGCAGACAGCAGUGGCGUGCAGAGCGCAGAAUGCAGGCUGGUCACUGACGCUGCAGCUGUUGGACCAAACAGACACAUGCACGGACUCACACACCUCUAAGGAGUGUAUGAGGCAUGCACACGCUGCUGCCUAUGGGAACACACACACUGGAAGGGUACCAGAGAGGAAAUACAGAAAACCCCUGAGCCUGAGGAGAUAUGGAGAGCAGCAUGUUCUUUGGUAACACAUGUCAAAAUGGCCUCAUGCCUACCCUGAUGCGUCCAACUCUGCCCGCUGUCCAAACCUCGCUGGGCAUGAAGCAGUUUCUCCCGAUUCCGUUGGACACGGCGUCAGCGGUCAGCCUUUUCCCAGGAUUUAACACGGUGAGUCUGAUGUUCAUCUCUCGGCAUGCGGUCUGCUUGCUGCCUUUGAACAGCUGCUUCACUCCAAGGAUUAUCCUCUAACUGAGACCUAAAAAGGAGAGAUGGCAUUUUCCCCUUUAACAUCUUUCCAACAUAAUUUUCAUAUCAUAUGAUGUGCAGUUUAUAAUUCUCUCAAACACUAUACAUUUUUCAUCUUUGUGUGAGCUGCAAUAAUUUCCUUAAGGCUAAAGCACAGAGCCUUGUCUGACACGUGUGUUUCUGCUUGUGUAUUUUCAUCUGAUCAUGUACAGGGUCAUGGCUCUGUUUAAGCGUUUAUUUAACAUAGUGUGAUGUGUAUAUUUUUCAUCUGUUGCCUAAAGUAAUCUUCUGUUACUUCUAUUAUAUUGGUUGAUAAAGGCAGUCUUUUUUU